GACGAACGCUGGCGGCGUGCCUAAUACAUGCAAGUCGAACGCUGAAGGAGGAGCUUGCUUCUCUGGAUGAGUUGCGAACGGGUGGGUAACGCGUAGGUAACCUGCCUGGUAGCGGGGGAUAACUAUUGGAAACGAUAGCUACUACCGCAUAAGAGUAGAUGUUGCAUGACAUUUGCUUAAAAGGUGCACUUGCAUCACUACCAGAUGGCCCUGCGUUGUAUUAGCUAGUUGGUGGGGUAACGGCUCACCAAGGCGACGGUACAUAGCCGACCGGAGAAGGGGAUCGGCCAAACUGGGACUGGGACACGGCCCAGACUCCUACGGGAGGGAGCAGGAGGGAAUCUUCGGCAAUGGACGGAAGUCUUAACGAGCAAAGCCGGGGGAGGGAAGAAGGGUUUCGGAUCGUAAAGCUCGGUUGUAAGAGAAGAAAGAGUGUGAGAGUGGAAAGUUCACACUGUGACGGUAUCUAACCAGAAAGGGACGGCUAACUACGUG
Molecule: ribosomal RNA, 495 nt
Filed under: uncultured bacterium
Lineage: Bacteria
Description: partial 16S ribosomal RNA
Rfam family: Bacterial small subunit ribosomal RNA
Source: RNAcentral